This 206-nucleotide long non-coding RNA is filed under the name Elaeis guineensis (African oil palm). Its description in RNAcentral is "long non-coding RNA (EGUI_LNC063403)". The record is from RNAcentral. Lineage: Eukaryota; Viridiplantae; Streptophyta; Magnoliopsida; Arecales; Arecaceae.
AUAAGGAAACUUCGCUCGAGCUCCUACGGGAGCCAUACUUCAGUCUUGAGCUCCUAUUGCAGGUAGACCUCAUCCGAACUCUUACAAGGGCUGGGCUCCGAGCCCCCACUGCAAGCGAUCUACUCCGAGCUACCACUACAACUGGUCUACUUCGAAUUUCUACUACGAGCAGUCCACAUCAGAUUUCUACUGUAAGCCUCCACCUG